Molecule: ribosomal RNA, 748 nt
Filed under: Salmonella enterica subsp. enterica serovar Chester
Lineage: Bacteria; Pseudomonadati; Pseudomonadota; Gammaproteobacteria; Enterobacterales; Enterobacteriaceae
Description: partial 23S ribosomal RNA
Rfam family: Bacterial large subunit ribosomal RNA
Source: RNAcentral
AUGGGGGGACCAUCCUCCAAGGCUAAAUACUCCUGACUGACCGAUAGUGAACCAGUACCGUGAGGGAAAGGCGAAAAGAACCCCGGCGAGGGGAGUGAAAAAGAACCUGAAACCGUGUACGUACAAGCAGUGGGAGCACAGGUUUACCUGUGUGACUGCGUACCUUUUGUAUAAUGGGUCAGCGACUUAUAUUCUGUAGCAAGGUUAACCGAAUAGGGGAGCCGGAGGGAAACCGAGUCUUAAUUGGGCGUUAAGUUGCAGGGUAUAGACCCGAAACCCGGUGAUCUAGCCAUGGGCAGGUUGAAGGUUGGGUAACACUAACUGGAGGACCGAACCGACUAAUGUUGAAAAAUUAGCGGAUGACCUGUGGCUGGGGGUGAAAGGCCAAUCAAACCGGGAGAUAGCUGGUUCUCCCCGAAAGCUAUUUAGGUAGCGCCUCGUGAAUUCAUCUCCGGGGGUAGAGCACUGUUUCGGCUAGGGGGCCAUCCCGGCUUACCAACCCGAUGCAAACUGCGAAUACCGGAGAAUGUUAUCACGGGAGACACACGGCGGGUGCUAACGUCCGUCGUGAAGAGGGAAACAACCCAGACCGCCAGCUAAGGUCCCAAAGUCAUGGUUAAGUGGGAAACGAUGUGGGAAGGCCCAGACAGCCAGGAUGUUGGCUUAGAAGCAGCCAUCAUUUAAAGAAAGCGUAAUAGCUCACUGGUCGAGUCGGCCUGCGCGGAAGAUGUAACGGGGCUAAACCAUG